RNAcentral lists this ribosomal RNA (388 nucleotides) under uncultured bacterium. RNAcentral's name for it is "bacterial SSU rRNA". It matches the Rfam family "Bacterial small subunit ribosomal RNA", at positions 30 to 418 of the family's 1533-position model. The record is from RNAcentral.
AUUGAACGCUGGCGGCAUGCCUUACACAUGCAAGUCGAACGGCAGCACGGGAGCAAUCCUGGUGGCGAGUGGCGAACGGGUGAGUAAUAUAUCGGAACGUGCCCAGUCGUGGGGGAUAACGUAGCGAAAGCUACGCUAAUACCGCAUACGAUCUAUGGAUGAAAGCGGGGGAUCGCAAGACCUCGCGCGAUUGGAGCGGCCGAUAUCAGAUUAGGUAGUUGGUGGGGUAAAAGCCUACUAAGCCUUCGAUCUGUAGCUGGUCUGAGAGGACGACCAGCCACACUGGAACUGAGACACGGUCCAGACUCCUACGGGAGGCAGCAGUGGGGAAUUUUGGACAAUGGGCGCAAGCCUGAUCCAGCAAUGCCGCGUGCAGGAUGAAGGCCUU